AGAGGCAUCGUCGAAUGGCUAAGACUGUGGUCUCCAAAACCGCCAAUGGGGGUUCGAAUCCCUCUGCCUCUG
Molecule: transfer RNA, 72 nt
Filed under: Firmicutes bacterium CAG:791
Lineage: Bacteria; Bacillati; Bacillota
Also listed under: 12 other names
Rfam family: tRNA
About the family: Transfer RNA (tRNA) molecules are approximately 80 nucleotides in length.
Source: Rfam by way of RNAcentral